This 2683-nucleotide ribosomal RNA is filed under the name Campylobacter coli. Its description in RNAcentral is "partial 23S ribosomal RNA". It matches the Rfam family "Bacterial large subunit ribosomal RNA", at positions 1 to 2539 of the family's 2925-position model. Lineage: Bacteria; Pseudomonadati; Campylobacterota; Epsilonproteobacteria; Campylobacterales; Campylobacteraceae. The record is from RNAcentral.
AGGUAAGCUACUAAGAGCGAAUGGUGGAUGCCUUGACUGGUAAAGGCGAUGAAGGACGUACUAGACUGCGAUAAGCUACGGGGAGCUGUCAAGAAGCUUUGAUCCGUAGAUUUCCGAAUGGGGCAACCCAAUGUAUAGAGAUAUACAUUACCUAUAUAGGAGCGAACGAGGGGAAUUGAAACAUCUUAGUACCCUCAGGAAAAGAAAUCAAUAGAGAUUGCGUCAGUAGCGGCGAGCGAAAGCGCAAGAGGGCAAACCCAGUGCUUGCACUGGGGGUUGUAGGACUGCAAUGUGCAAGAGGUGAGUUUAGCAGAACAUUCUGGAAAGUAUAGCCAUAGAGGGUGAUAGUCCCGUAUGCGAAAAACAAACCUUAGCUAGCAGUAUCCUGAGUAGGGCGGGACACGAGAAAUCCUGUCUGAAGCUGGGUCGACCACGAUCCAACCCUAAAUACUAAUACCAGAUCGAUAGUGCACAAGUACCGUGAGGGAAAGGUGAAAAGAACUGAGGUGAUCAGAGUGAAAUAGAACCUGAAACCAUUUGCUUACAAUCAUUCAGAGCCCUAUGUAGCAAUACAGGGUGAUGGACUGCCUUUUGCAUAAUGAGCCUGCGAGUUGUGGUGUCUGGCAAGGUUAAGCAAACGCGAAGCCGUAGCGAAAGCGAGUCUGAAUAGGGCGCUUAGUCAGAUGCUGCAGACCCGAAACGAAGUGAUCUAUCCAUGAGCAAGUUGAAGCUAGUGUAAGAACUAGUGGAGGACUGAACCCAUAGGCGUUGAAAAGCCCCGGGAUGACUUGUGGAUAGGGGUGAAAGGCCAAUCAAACUUCGUGAUAGCUGGUUCUCUCCGAAAUAUAUUUAGGUAUAGCGUUGUGUCGUAAUAUAAGGGGGUAGAGCACUGAAUGGGCUAGGGCAUACACCAAUGUACCAAACCCUAUCAAACUCCGAAUACCUUAUAUGUAAUCACAGCAGUCAGGCGGCGAGUGAUAAAAUCCGUCGUCAAGAGGGAAACAACCCAGACUACCAGCUAAGGUCCCUAAAUCUUACUUAAGUGGAAAACGAUGUGAAGUUACUUAAACAACCAGGAGGUUGGCUUAGAAGCAGCCAUCCUUUAAAGAAAGCGUAAUAGCUCACUGGUCUAGUGAUUUUGCGCGGAAAAUAUAACGGGGCUAAAGUAAGUACCGAAGCUGUAGACUUGCGCACAACUUAGAUUAUUUAAGUUUAGAAUAUGAGAAACUAAGUUAUAUGUUUAGUUAUAUUUUUACUGAUUUUUAUAGAGUAAAGAUAGAAAUAAAACUUAGUAAAAUCAGUAAAAAUAUUCUUAGACUAAAGUUAAGUAGUUUAAGUUGUGUGCAAGUGGUAGGAGAGCGUUCUAUUUGCGUCGAAGGUAUACCGGUAAGGAGUGCUGGAGCGAAUAGAAGUGAGCAUGCAGGCAUGAGUAGCGAUAAUUAAUGUGAGAAUCAUUAACGCCGUAAACCCAAGGUUUCCUACGCGAUGCUCGUCAUCGUAGGGUUAGUCGGGUCCUAAGUCGAGUCCGAAAGGGGUAGACGAUGGCAAAUUGGUUAAUAUUCCAAUACCAACAUUAGUGUGCGAUGGAAGGACGCUUAGGGCUAAGGGGGCUAGCGGAUGGAAGUGCUAGUCUAAGGUCGUAGGAGGUUAUACAGGCAAAUCCGUAUAACAAUACUCCGAGAACUGAAAGGCUUUUUGAAGUCUUCGGAUGGAUAGAAGAACCCCUGAUGCCGUCGAGCCAAGAAAAGUUUCUAAGUUUAGCUAAUGUUGCCCGUACCGUAAACCGACACAGGUGGGUGGGAUGAGUAUUCUAAGGCGCGUGGAAGAACUCUCUUUAAGGAACUCUGCAAAAUAGCACCGUAUCUUCGGUAUAAGGUGUGGUUCGCUUCGUAUUAGGAUUUACUCCGAAAGCGAAGAAACUUACAACAAAGAGUCCCUCCCGACUGUUUACCAAAAACACAGCACUCUGCUAACUCGUAAGAGGAUGUAUAGGGUGUGACGCCUGCCCGGUGCUCGAAGGUUAAUUGAUGGGGUUAGCAUUAGCGAAGCUCUUGAUCGAAGCCCGAGUAAACGGCGGCCGUAACUAUAACGGUCCUAAGGUAGCGAAAUUCCUUGUCGGUUAAAUACCGACCUGCAUGAAUGGCGUAACGAGAUGGGAGCUGUCUCAAAGAGGGAUCCAGUGAAAUUGUAGUGGAGGUGAAAAUUCCUCCUACCCGCGGCAAGACGGAGAGACCCCGUGGACCUUUACUACAGCUUGACACUGCUAUUUGGAUAAGAAUGUGCAGGAUAGGUGGGAGGCUUUGAGUAUAUGACGCCAGUUGUAUAUGAGCCAUUGUUGAGAUACCACUCUUUCUUAUUUGGGUAGCUAACCAGCUUGAGUUAUCCUCAAGUGGGACAAUGUCUGGUGGGUAGUUUGACUGGGGCGGUCGCCUCCCAAAUAAUAACGGAGGCUUACAAAGGUUGGCUCAGAACGGUUGGAAAUCGUUCGUAGAGUAUAAAGGUAUAAGCCAGCUUAACUGCAAGACAUACAAGUCAAGCAGAGACGAAAGUCGGUCUUAGUGAUCCGGUGGUUCUGUGUGGAAGGGCCAUCGCUCAAAGGAUAAAAGGUACCCCGGGGAUAACAGGCUGAUCUCCCCCAAGAGCUCACAUCGACGGGGAGGUUUGGCACCUCGAUGUCGGCUCA